RNAcentral lists this ribosomal RNA (449 nucleotides) under uncultured bacterium. Its description in RNAcentral is "SSU rRNA". It matches the Rfam family "Bacterial small subunit ribosomal RNA", at positions 26 to 518 of the family's 1533-position model. The record is from RNAcentral.
AGAACGAACGCUGGCGGCAGGCCUCAAACAUGCAAGUCUAGGGGGGUGUAGCAAUACAUCACCGGCGGACGGGUGCGUAACGCGUGGGAAUGUACCUAUUGGUUCGGAACAACUGAGGGAAACUUCAGCUAAUACCGGAUGAGCCCGCAAGGGGAAAGAUUUCUCGCCAAUAGAUCAGCCCGCGUCCGAUUAGCUAGUUGGUGGGGUUAAAAGCCUACCAAGGCGACGAUCGGUAGCUGUUCUGAGAGGAAGAUCAGCCACACUGGGACUGAGACACGGCCCAGACUCCUACGGGAGGCAGCAGUUGGGAAUCUUGGACAAUGGGGGAAACCCUGAUCCAGCCAUGCCGCGUGAGUGAUGAAGGCCUUCGGGUUGUAAAACUCUUUCGACGGGACGAUAAUGACGGUACCCGUAGAAGAAGCUCCGGCUAACUUCGUGCCAGCAGCCGC